GUCUUCUGCGGCACAAGCUCGCUACAAUUGUUAUUGUUUGCGUGUACUGGAUGUGGACGCUGGAGGAGGAUGUGUCCUAAUCCAUACCCUUUCUCAGUGGUGAGAACCUGAGUUCCCCUCCAGAGAAAGCUACGUUUCACUUUCCUCGGCGAUCGCAGGGCCUGAGCACCGGGGGCAGAGGAUUCUUACUUGGGUGACGGUAUCUUUCUCACCGUGUGCAGUGCUUGGUGUUAACAUCUGUGUG
Rhinichthys klamathensis goyatoka is the source of this 244-nucleotide long non-coding RNA. RefSeq lists it as uncharacterized. The record is from RefSeq and is a predicted model, not a curated record. Lineage: Eukaryota; Metazoa; Chordata; Actinopteri; Cypriniformes; Leuciscidae. The transcript has 3 exons.